GAUGAAGAACGUAGCGAAAUGCGAUACGUAGUGUGAAUUGCAGAAUUCAGUGAAUCAUCGAGUCUUUGAACGCACAUUGCGCCCCCUGGUAUUCCGGGGGGCAUGCCUGUCCGAGCGUCAUUGCUGCCCUCAAGCACGGCUUGUGUGUUGGGCCCCGUCCCCUCCCCCGGGGACGGGCCCGAAAGGCAGCGGCGGCACCGCGUCCGAUCCUCGAGCGUAUGGGGCUUUGUCACCCGCUCUGUAGGCCCGGCCGGCGCCAGCCGACACCCAACUUUUAUUUCUAAGGUUGACCUCGGAUCAGGUAGGGAUACCCGCUGAACUUAAGCAUAUCAAUAAGCGGAGGA
Molecule: unclassified non-coding RNA, 344 nt
Filed under: soil metagenome
Description: partial contains 5.8S ribosomal RNA, internal transcribed spacer 2, and large subunit ribosomal RNA
Rfam family: 5.8S ribosomal RNA (bases 1-120)
Source: RNAcentral